UACAGAGGUCUCAAGCGUUGUUCGGAUUCAUUGGGCGUAAAGGGUGCGUAGGCGGGUCUUUAAGUCAGGGGUGAAAUCCUGGAGCUCAACUCCAGAACUGCCUUUGAUGCUGAAGAUCUUGAGUUCGGGAGAGGUGAGUGGAACUGCGAGUGUAGAGGUGAAAUUCGUAGAUAUUCGCAAGAACACCAGUGGCGAAGGCGGCUCACUGGCCCGAUACUGACGCUGAGGCACGAAAGCGUGGGGAGCAAACAGG
RNAcentral lists this ribosomal RNA (253 nucleotides) under uncultured bacterium. Its description in RNAcentral is "partial 16S ribosomal RNA". It matches the Rfam family "Bacterial small subunit ribosomal RNA", at positions 524 to 776 of the family's 1533-position model. The record is from RNAcentral.